Molecule: non-coding RNA, 1950 nt
Organism: Megalobrama amblycephala (Wuchang bream)
Lineage: Eukaryota; Metazoa; Chordata; Actinopteri; Cypriniformes; Xenocyprididae
Source: the annotation of a RefSeq genome assembly
CAGCAUAACUUCUUACAAUUUCAAGCAGUGAGCCACAAGUAAUAUAUAUUGUGUACUUGACCCUUGUAAUUUCUCCACAUUUGUGAAACUGAAUACAAAAAAAGAAAUGGCAUCAUAUUGUAAUGUUUAAUUAAUCUGAAUUUUUUAAACUAAAUAUUUGGACAAUAUUUAAUUAGAUGAGGUAAAAGUAGAUGCAUCAGAACAUAACUCAUUGUUACAGUUGCUUAUUACAGUACAGCUUAUUACAUGUCAAUAAUUGUUUUGUAGUGUUCAUUUAUCUCUGAAUUAUUUACCUCACUGAAUUAAUAACCACAUUUCUAAGUUUAGCAAAAUGCUGAUUUACUAAUAUUAAAAUAUUUUAUAUAGAGCUAAUCACCACACAGUUUAUUAUAUAAAAAUGCUCUGCUGUUAUUUCUCAGUCCACAUAAGAUUCUUUCAUACUUGGCUGUAAUUAUGCCCUCACUUCAGUCUUACUCUAAAUUCACCUCGUUUAAAUGGCAGUACAGUGAGCAAGUAACACUCUCACUGUCUAUUUUUUACCUUAAUGAGUAAAAAAGUCACUCAAAGUGAUAGUAAAGUGAUUUUCACGUUGUAUAAAAAAGGUACAUACAAAGUGACUUACAGUAUAGUACACUUUAUACAUGAACAUCCCCCUUGACCAACCUGAGGUUAAGUAUCUUUCUCAAGUCAAGUGUUGAUAGUAGAUGGAUUUCCCUUAGACCAACCUAGAUCUUUAUCCACUAAACUACAGAACCCAACCCCACCUCUAGAGGCACACCAUGUUUAUUUAAGCCUCGAGACUUUGCUAAGUUCAGCUAUUCAUGAUGCAUUUGCAUUUUGCUAUCUUUUUUGUAUCAUUACAAUGGCCUGCCACUAUGUGUCUUCAGGUAAACCAAAACCCAUUGGAGCUUAUUGUUCUACCUGGUGUACCACUUGAAGUCAACUGCUCCAUCACAGGCACUGAUAACCCAAACCUGUACUGGUACCGCUGGACCCCAACAGAUGGUCUCAAGCUGAUGUUCAGUUCUUUGGGUAAAGGAAUGGUGGAUCCAGAAAGCAUGGGGAUUUUUCAUCUAAAAGACCAGAGCUUCUUCAGAUACUGCUGGAGUCCAAGAGUGUAACUCAUAUUGGUUCUGCCGUUUGGUAUUGUGCAGCCAGUCCCCACAGUAUGACAGACUACAAUGAAGCUGUACAAAAACUAGGCCCUGUUUACACCUGGUGUUAAGAUGCGUUUUGGUCGAUCGGAUCACAGGUAGAUAAGGGAGACACGUUCCCUUUUUUACACCCAGUGUUUUAAUCCAUCUCUUUUGUCCACCUUCAAUCACUUCUGUUAUGAUUUCUUUGAGGGGAAGGUCUAUGGGUGGUAAAUGUAUGGGCUUUUUCAAAUCUAUUGAUUAAAUUCACGUCACACACAAAUAAAUGACCAGAAAUGACAAAAAAUAUGACAAAACAUACAAAACAUGCUCCGAUAGCUGCAAGACCACACUGAAUGCAAGGUAAGUGUUAGAAAUGAGGAAUGCUGAGAGAGCAUUGUGCUUGGUAUACAUUUUUUGUCUUCAAACCAAACUUUGGUCUUCAGCCAAAAAAGUUUAAAUCCCGUCUGGCUAGCGUGCUUCUCAUAAUGUUUACACAUUAGGUCAGUAGGCGGAGAAUAGAUGGUCUUUUGUGGCUGUUCAAACACAUUCGACCACGUAAGCGUUUCCACUACGAAAACAUUAUUGUUGCAUUUUUCGACUACCUCUAGAAGUGGUCGAAAGUGGACAAAUUCAAAGACCAUAUUUACUUAUAAAUACCAGAGUAUGUCAUCCACUUGUGAUCCGAUCGACCAAAAUGCAUCUUAAUACCUGUUGUAAACAGGGCCUCAGGGACAUUCCCCCCCUGUAAAAAAAAAUCAUCUACUGUAAGAAGCUAACCCUUGUGUUGAGAUUGACUUUACUGUUUUUGAUUUUG